AAAAUUCAUAACAUUUUUUUAUUUUAUUAACACUUAUAUAAAAUCUAAAUUAAAAAUCUAAAUUAGAAAUCUAAAUACCAAAAAUUGAAUAUUAAAAGUGAAAAAAAGAAAAAAGAAAAAAAUUAGGAAAUUUAGAAAUUAACCCCCCAAAACUAGAAGCCCUAGUUUUGUUCGUCCUCCCUGUCUCUCUCGACUCUCUCUCUCCCCUCUCGACUCCGCCGCCGGCGCCGCUGCCCCGAGCCAGCCCGUCGCCGCCCACCCUUGUCGCGCUGCGUCGCGCCGCUGCCGCCCACCCUCGCUGCGUCUCAUCUCCUCCCCAAAUCUC
RNAcentral lists this long non-coding RNA (325 nucleotides) under Salvia miltiorrhiza (redroot sage). RNAcentral describes it as "long non-coding RNA (SMIL_LNC014074)". The record is from RNAcentral. Lineage: Eukaryota; Viridiplantae; Streptophyta; Magnoliopsida; Lamiales; Lamiaceae.